UAUUUUAUUUAUGGACCAUCCAAACC
Molecule: non-coding RNA, 26 nt
Filed under: Mus musculus (house mouse)
Lineage: Eukaryota; Metazoa; Chordata; Mammalia; Rodentia; Muridae
Source: RNAcentral